RNAcentral lists this ribosomal RNA (253 nucleotides) under uncultured bacterium. RNAcentral's name for it is "partial 16S ribosomal RNA". It matches the Rfam family "Bacterial small subunit ribosomal RNA", at positions 524 to 776 of the family's 1533-position model. The record is from RNAcentral.
UACGAAGGGGGCUAGCGUUGCUCGGAAUCACUGGGCGUAAAGCGCACGUAGGCGGCUUUCUAAGUCAGGGGUGAAAUCCUGGAGCUCAACUCCAGAACUGCCUUUGAUACUGGGAAGCUCGAGUCCGGAAGAGGUGAGUGGAACUCCGAGUGUAGAGGUGAAAUUCGUAGAUAUUCGGAAGAACACCAGUGGCGAAGGUGGCUCACUGGUCCGGUACUGACGCUGAGGUGCGAAAGCGUGGGGAGCAAACAGG